RNAcentral lists this ribosomal RNA (437 nucleotides) under Rahnella sp. 1h. RNAcentral's name for it is "SSU rRNA". It matches the Rfam family "Bacterial small subunit ribosomal RNA", at positions 11 to 444 of the family's 1533-position model. The record is from RNAcentral. Lineage: Bacteria; Pseudomonadati; Pseudomonadota; Gammaproteobacteria; Enterobacterales; Yersiniaceae.
UUUUGAUCAUGGCUCAGAUUGAACGCUGGCGGCAGGCCUAACACAUGCAAGUCGAGCGGUAGCACGGGAGAGCUUGCUAUUUGGCUGACGAGCGGCGGACGGGUGAGUAAUGUCUGGGAAACUGCCUGAUGGAGGGGGAUAACUACUGGAAACGGUAGCUAAUACCGCAUAACCUCGCAAGAGCAAAGUGGGGGACCUUCGGGCCUCACGCCAUCGGAUGUGCCCAGAUGGGAUUAGCUAGUAGGUGGGGUAAUGGCUCACCUAGGCGACGAUCCCUAGCUGGUCUGAGAGGAUGACCAGCCACACUGGAACUGAGACACGGUCCAGACUCCUACGGGAGGCAGCAGUGGGGAAUAUUGCACAAUGGGCGCAAGCCUGAUGCAGCCAUGCCGCGUGUGUGAAGAAGGCCUUCGGGUUGUAAAGCACUUUCAGCGAGG